CCUAGGGCAGGCCAGAGUCCCUCUCAGGCUUGUUUGGGGUCAGGUGGGGACAGGUGAGGGAGGUGGGGCAUACUGGGCUCAUAUGUCUAGACUAGCUUCUUACUAGAUCCUCAUUCCCAGAAUGUCAGUUGAAAGCGACCUGGAGAGGGUACUCUCCACAAUCCCCAGGCCCACCCCCAGCCCCCAGGGUCUCCUGGCGCCAGUACUUACUAUUUGGUACCCUUGAGAAGUCCUUUCACUUCAUGACUCAGUUUGCUUAUCUGUAAGUUGGGGCAAAUGAUGAGGGAAUCCUCCCUGGGACAUUGUGAGGAUUGUAACUGCUGUUACCAGAUGUGGAGUGGGCAGGACCUCUGGGCAGUGUGCAAGACACAUCUGGCACAGAGACUAGGAAUGGGGCCCUGGGCCUGCACCCCGGCAUGAGGACGCAUCCCCUAAGAAGACGUACCUCAGGAGGUGAUGGCAGAGGGACCGAUGGAGCCUGGAGUUGGAGGCAGGUUCUGUGCUCUGAUGGAAAAACUCCCCGAACCUGUUGGGAGUCACGGUGGGAGAAGAGCUUGUCCUGGCUGCCUGGCCCUGAACCUCCACUCUCAUGGGGCAGCAGGGACGGUGUCUGGGUGGGAUCCCACUUCUCUGCUCCCUCCUGGCCCACCAGAGACAGGAAAGCAGUGGCCUAAGAGAACACAGCAAGCGGUUGCACACCUGGCUCCAGAAGCCAGACCUUCCCCCAGGUGUGAACCAGACCUGCGAAGGCAUCACUUUGCUGUCAGAACCAUGGUUCUCAACACUUUGGGGGUCCUGAAGCCCUUUGAAAAGAUGACAAAGGUUAUGAACCUUCUCCCCAGGAGGACACACAUACUCCCGUAGACGCCAGAAGCAGGUCCAGGAGCUCCUGGACUCCAGGCUGAGAUCCUCGGCCCUGGGACCGACCCAGCACCCUUUCCUUACCUAACCCAGAGCCCCAGGUCUGGGCCUCUGUACAAGUAGCAUUUCUUUCCCCUCCUUCCUCACACCCAUCUUCCUUCCCUUGUUCAGGAAUAAAGAAUUCUGAGGAGGGGC
This is a non-coding RNA of Vicugna pacos (alpaca), 1056 nucleotides long. Lineage: Eukaryota; Metazoa; Chordata; Mammalia; Artiodactyla; Camelidae. The record is from RefSeq and is a predicted model, not a curated record.